RNAcentral lists this non-coding RNA (71 nucleotides) under Pseudomonas sp. FFUP_PS_473. Lineage: Bacteria; Pseudomonadati; Pseudomonadota; Gammaproteobacteria; Pseudomonadales; Pseudomonadaceae. The record is from RNAcentral.
AAGCGAAACCGCCUCGGGCAACCGGGGCGGUCUGCCGGGCGUGGUUGCCUGGUACUGAUGAGCAGCCGAGU